GUCCCGUUCGUCUAGAGGCCCAGGACGCCGCCCUCUCACGGCGGCAACAGGGGUUCGAAUCCCCUACGGGACGCCA
This 76-nucleotide transfer RNA is filed under the name Acetobacteraceae bacterium. RNAcentral describes it as "tRNA-Glu". It matches the Rfam family "tRNA". From Rfam's summary of the family: Transfer RNA (tRNA) molecules are approximately 80 nucleotides in length. Their secondary structure includes four short double-helical elements and three loops (D, anti-codon, and T loops). Lineage: Bacteria; Pseudomonadati; Pseudomonadota; Alphaproteobacteria; Acetobacterales; Acetobacteraceae. RNAcentral also lists the same sequence under 3 other names. The record is from RNAcentral.